UUAAAAAAAGACAAUGCUCUCUUGGACAAAUAUAAAAUUGCAAAAGGGAGGCUGAUGAACGAGCUUAACUGAAAUCAGGCUUCUCUGGAUAUGUGCAACCUGACCUCUGGAUAAUCACAUUUGCUGCAUAGCAUCCAGCUCUCACACACUCUUCAAUAGGCUUCUCUUGCACUAGAUGUGACAAAAAUCCACCAACAAAUGCAUCCCCUGCCCCAUUCGUAUCUACCAGCUUUUCCUUGGGUAACAAUACCACAGGGAAUAAU
This 263-nucleotide unclassified non-coding RNA is filed under the name Hevea brasiliensis (rubber tree). Lineage: Eukaryota; Viridiplantae; Streptophyta; Magnoliopsida; Malpighiales; Euphorbiaceae. The record is from RNAcentral.